GAAGAUAGAGAAUCAAAUGACCGCAUUGCACCGAGUGAUCGGGAUGCUUCAGUAAUGAGAGCUCUUCGUUUUCUUGGAGCCCUAGAGAAACAGAAACUAAAACCCAUCACUGAAAGGGGGUUGAUGUACGUCGAUUUGCUAAUUAAUGGGAAAAUAAAAGGGCUUUAGUGGACACAGAAGCCACUGAUAAUUUUGUGGCAGACACUAUGGUCUCUCGAUUCAAGCUAACAGUACAAGCGGAUGCAGGAAAGAUAAAGGCCGUGAAUUCUCAGGCACUAAACACAGUAGGAGUAGCUCAGAGAGUAUCCUGUCAAAUGGGACCCUGGAGAGGUGAAAUGGAUUUUACAAUAAUCCCUCUUGAUGACCAUGAUGUGGUGAUUGGGAUGGAUUUCCUCAAGAGAGUGCGAGCCAUUCCAGUCCCAGCCGCUAAUUGCAUUUUGGUGAUGGGAGAUAAACCUUGCACGAUUCCAACAUCUUUCAGUCUCAUUUUUUAGAGGAAGUUAAUAUUGGCUCUCCAAUUCAAGAAAGGCGUGAAGCACAAGAAGCCCACGUAUGUGGUCGUCCCCAUUAUGAAGGAAAGCAUGGAAGAGUCACAACCUACACCCCAAAUCCUAGACCUCAUGUUCGAGUUUAAAGAUGUAAUGCCGGAUCGACUGCCUGCAGCCCUACCUCCCCAUCGCAGCAUAGAUCAUGAGAUUGAAUUGAUGCCAGGGACGAGGCCUCCCGCUAAGGCUCCUUAUCGU
This 743-nucleotide unclassified non-coding RNA is filed under the name Hevea brasiliensis (rubber tree). The record is from RNAcentral. Lineage: Eukaryota; Viridiplantae; Streptophyta; Magnoliopsida; Malpighiales; Euphorbiaceae.